AUUGAACGCUGGCGGCAGGCCUAACACAUGCGAGUCGAGCGGAUGAAGGGAGCUUGCUCCUGGAUUCAGCGGCGGACGGGUGAGUAAUGCCUAGGAAUCUGCCUGGUAGUGGGGGAUAACGUCCGGAAACGGGCGCUAAUACCGCAUACGUCCUGAGGGAGAAAGUGGGGGAUCUUCGGACCUCACGCUAUCAGAUGAGCCUAGGUCGGAUUAGCUAGUUGGUGGGGUAAAGGCCUACCAAGGCGACGAUCCGUAACUGGUCUGAGAGGAUGAUCAGUCACACUGGAACUGAGACACGGUCCAGACUCCUACGGGAGGCAGCAGUGGGGAAUAUUGGACAAUGGGCGAAAGCCUAAUCCAGCCAUGCCGCGUGUGUGAAGAAGGUCUUCGGAUUGUAAAGCACUUUAAGUUGGGAGGAAGGGCAGUAAGUUAAUACCUUGCUGUUUUGACGUUACCAACAGAAUAAGCACCGGCUAACUUUGUG
This 484-nucleotide ribosomal RNA is filed under the name uncultured bacterium. Its description in RNAcentral is "partial 16S ribosomal RNA". It matches the Rfam family "Bacterial small subunit ribosomal RNA", at positions 30 to 507 of the family's 1533-position model. The record is from RNAcentral.